UACGUAGGGUGCAAGCGUUAAUCGGAAUUACUGGGCGUAAAGCGUGCGCAGGCGGUUUUGUAAGACGGAUGUGAAAUCCCCGGGCUCAACCUGGGAACUGCAUUCGUGACUGCAAGGCUAGAGUAUGGCAGAGGGGGGUAGAAUUCCACGUGUAGCAGUGAAAUGCGUAGAGAUGUGGAGGAAUACCGAUGGCGAAGGCAGCCCCCUGGGCCAAUACUGACGCUCAUGCACGAAAGCGUGGGGAGCAAACAGG
Molecule: ribosomal RNA, 253 nt
Filed under: uncultured bacterium
Lineage: Bacteria
Description: partial 16S ribosomal RNA
Rfam family: Bacterial small subunit ribosomal RNA
Source: RNAcentral